UCAAGUUAUAAUACAGUCACCUAACAACUACUGUAUAGUAAAACUGGUUGCCCACUGAAGCUAAGCAGGGUUGAGCUGGUCAGUACCUGGAUGGGAGACCUCCUGGGAAAUCUAGGUUGCUGCUGGAA
Molecule: ribosomal RNA, 128 nt
Filed under: Sinocyclocheilus rhinocerous
Lineage: Eukaryota; Metazoa; Chordata; Actinopteri; Cypriniformes; Cyprinidae
Source: RNAcentral